This 119-nucleotide ribosomal RNA is filed under the name Pteropus alecto (black flying fox). The record is from RNAcentral. Lineage: Eukaryota; Metazoa; Chordata; Mammalia; Chiroptera; Pteropodidae.
AUCUACGGCCAUGCCACCCUGAGCAAACCUGAUCUCGUCUAAUCUCGGAAGUUAAGCAGGGUUGGGCCUGGUUAGUACUUGGAUGGGAGACCACCUAAGAAGACCAGGUGCUAUAGGUG